Cinara cedri is the source of this 301-nucleotide non-coding RNA. NCBI's taxonomy places the organism in Eukaryota, Metazoa, Arthropoda, Insecta, Hemiptera, Aphididae. The record is from the annotation of a GenBank genome assembly.
UAAACGGACAUAGUUUAAUAAGUUAAUCGUUAAGUCGCGUAAUCAACCGCCCGGCUUUUUUCAAAUCCAUAGACGCGUACGAAAUCUGCAGGAUCACCGUUACGUUUGUUUUAAAUUUUACGAUAGGCUAUGAACAACGCUAUGUCUGUUUUAUCUAUAGUUUAAAAGUUUUAUCUUUAUGAUAAUAUCCCGGGAAAUAAUUAUUCUACGCGGUACAUAGCGGGCCCCGUUUCGGCUUAUCGCUUUCUAUCGCCACAUUCUAUUCUUUCGCAAUCCUGAGGAGUGCCUCCCAAAUCGUUCG